UCCUCUUCUCAUGUUGAGGGCCUGGCC
RNAcentral lists this non-coding RNA (27 nucleotides) under Mus musculus (house mouse). The record is from RNAcentral. Lineage: Eukaryota; Metazoa; Chordata; Mammalia; Rodentia; Muridae.